Molecule: long non-coding RNA, 3722 nt
Organism: Cavia porcellus (domestic guinea pig)
Lineage: Eukaryota; Metazoa; Chordata; Mammalia; Rodentia; Caviidae
Exons: 3
Source: RefSeq, a predicted model, not a curated record
GGAGGGGUGGCUCACAGAACCAGCAGGACCCAGGCUGCUUGCUGUGAGAGGGUCGAGCACUGAGGAGAAGGCCACCAAGGGGCAGGGGAGGAGAUGGGGUGGGGGACAGCUUCUGUUGCUGGCCAUGACAACAGGAUCAUAAACAUUUUUAGUUGGAGCCCAGCAGGAUGCGUUCUGGAAGCUCCUUAAGCUUGGGUCAGAUAGAAAGCAGGAAAUAAGGAGCAGAAAUUGCUGCCUAGUGGAGCUCUCUGCUCGUCCAGCCCUGGCCUGGCAGCCCACAACCCAGUGGUGCAGCGCGCCGGGAGAUGGAGAUUCCAAGGCAACGGUUCCUUGGUUACUGUUCCCUGGCUACCACGAUACUCAUCCCCCAUUGGCCAGCACCAGGAAUCUACCUGGCGCGUGCCUUGGUACCCGCUGUCCCUCCCCCUAUGAGGGAGGAGGAGAGAACCUGGGGUGCUCGCACAGUGCUGGGCAUCCCCCUAGUAACCAUGGCAACCCAGCAAUUGGCACAGGAACCAGCCCACCAGAGCUGCAUUCUCCUGGAACACAAAGGGCCCUGGGGACCCGCCCUCAGACUCAAUCUCCGCCUCUCAGAAAUGGGGAUGAGGUCACUGUGGUCACUCCCUCCCAGACACUAGCCUCUAGUGGCUGUGCUCUCCUGGCCUUCCAGCCCCUAUGCUGCCUCAGCCCUAGCUGAGGCCUCAGGGAACUGCUGCUCCCUCCUGCAGCCAGAAAGCUAAGCCAGCAGCUUUCCUGCUUUUUCUUCCUGUUCUCCAGCUUUAUUAUGCCCUGAUUCUUUCUAGGCAGCUGCGGCACAGCAUCCAUUUCACAGAAGGGAAUGCAGAGAUGUCUCUCAUCUGAUGCAGGCACAGGUUGAGGACCCACCGGGAGAAGAAGCCUGGGCCAAGGAAGACAGACCUUGUUUCAAGAUGAGAAACUGAGGCAGAGCCCAGGGUUCCUGGUUUCCAGAUACUACCGGGGGUAUCAUGCUUCUCUGGGAGAGCCUAUUUGCCUCAGCCUUACCCAGAAGGAAGGUCAGACCUGCAGGAUACUAGUGCUGGUUCCCCAGGCAGACUCACCCCGAAUCGCUUGUCUCCAGAGCACCUGCCACACCCCAUCAGAAAUGAGAAGAGGUAUUUGGACCUGCGCUGGCCUCUGCUUCUCUAACACCUGGGCCUAGGCAGGUGUCAGCUAAGGAAUCCAUCCACAGGGAACCAGGAUGGGAAGAUGGAGACCUUAAAUCUACACAUCUCACCAGCUUCAAUCCCUGGAGACAAGACACUGCCCCGAAGGUAAGCUUUGUGAAGGUGGAGACUUCUUGAUGCAGCUUACACAGUGUUCUCUGGAUCCUGGGUCUAGCACAGAGCAGAACCACAGGUAUUCGGGAUGUUGACACAGACUGUUAGAAAUCAUCUAAGUCCAGAGAAAUGGUAACUGGACGGUAGCAGCUCCAGGGAGAUCCUUGGGUCAGCUCUGAGUGGGAGGCUGAAGAUCCUUCAAGAUCAUCACAUAAGACAGACAGACCUCUGGGGAUCCUACACACGACUGUACCAAAUCCUCUCUUAUUCUCAAGAGCACCAGAGAGGAGCAGAAUCUUGCAUGUAUGGUUGUUCAGUUGAGUUGUAUCACAACCAGAAAAAUGCUGGCCUUUCUCACUAUAUAACUUGUAUGGUCCAUUUCAUAGACCUUGCAACCUGGGGUAAGAAAUCCCCAAUUGCAUCCCACCCCCAAUGAAAGACAAGAUGAGGGAGCACAGCAUCAAAUCCCCUUAUCCCAAUCAGCAAUUCUACCCAAGACACCUCUCCUUCUGCCUCUAAGUGCAGAAUCUGCCUAAGUCUUAUGAUCACCCAAGAACUCUCGCUCUGUGCUGGGUCUUGAGGAGACUCACGUCUCCUUUUUACAGGAUGCAAUCCUUGUGCCCUUUUUAAAAAAAGUGCUGUCUGGGCCCUUGGGAAUGAACAAAUGUGUAUAUGUGCAAGGGUGCAUGUGUGCAUCUGUUUCGAUGUCCCACACACAACCCAGAUGGAUAUUGACGUACACCUGAGAUUAAUAACUACCCUUGGCCAAUAGAUACUACUGGGUGAUGGGAGCCCAGACCUCUGCUAAACAGAAUAUGGGUCGGCAGUGACUGGGUAGCACAGCUUUGGGCUGCCAGAGCUCUGCUCUUGUAGGGUUAGGGGGAAAAGGGCAGAUUCUCCACCCCAAAGCCUGGAGAGCAAGAGGUGUUCUGGGGUGGGUUAUGCCUUUCCCCACACAGGGCCAUAUCCCAAAGCCAGCUCCUCCACCAGGCCAAACCGGCCACUUGCCCAGAACUCUUUGCAUGAUCUCAACCCCCUAGAGGCAGGGUUGGGACAAUGGGUGGGCCGCCUGCCUGCUUGUGCUGGGCUUGUGUUGGCCUGUGCUGGCCUCUCCUGUGACUGACCUGCAGGACAUGAGAGCUUGUCUCCCGAGUCCAUCCCUCCAGGCCUGGCUGCCUGCCAGUGCUGCAGUACCAUGGCAUGGACGCCUGGCUAUCUUGUCCCCUCCUCCAGCGCCCAGGUCAGUAUCUCUAACUGGCUACACACCCUGGUUGUGGGUGAGGCCAGCUCAACUGGGGUCCUUUAGACCUACCCUUAGUCUUUCCCGUUUCCUUCAGAAGAGCCUGCUUCCUGCCUGCAGGGGUGGGGGGGGCGCUAGGAACAGAAUGGGCACUUGCCCUGGAGAAUACUAGGAGAAAUGAUGAGUCCAGAAUGGGGCAGUAUAGGCCACGUUGGUUUCCAGGCCACCCUGGGGGCUCCAGCCCCAGAGCACUGGUCCAUCCCCUCCCCCCAACUCAGAGACACAACAGCUGGGAGUGCAGCCCGGCUCCUCAGCCAUCAGGAGCUAAGUGCCUCUUGUGCUGAGUGAAGGGCUCAGGGACCCAGUGGAUCUACUCAUCUCUUCGUUCCUCUUUGGGUUCCUUCCAUAGUCCCUCCCAGCAGGAUCCCCAGACAAGCAGCUGGGUCCACCUGCCCCCCUCCCGCCCCCAAUCCCAAUUGACUGGUCCAUGCCAUCCCUUUCAAGUGCGGAAGAGAAGGGUUCAUCCUUGCCUCCUAGUCUUCCAAGAACUGUGAGGGGUAAAGCAGUCACUUCUCGGUUCCCCCGUGGCAGUGAACCUCCUUCCAUCAUACCCGAACCCAGCAUGGUGGGGGGGCAACAAAGUCCAAGAAGCCCCCGGUGGGCGGGGCGCCCUGGACCCUGCCUGCUCCGCUCCUCCCCCGCCCUAGCUUUCCUUUGUGUUUUGGCCGGGCCGGGCUGGGCUGGGCAAGGCAGGCUGCGCUGACUCCGCUACCUCGGUCCCCGCCCCGUCUCCGCCCGGUCCUCUACCGCUGGAAGGUGGCGAAGGUGCCCUUGGCCCGCCCGUGUACACCUGUCCCUCGGGCCCGUGGACCGGGGUAGGAAGGGAGGGGGAUGGGCUCCAGCAAGGGCCACGCGGCCCGAGGUCACCCAUCUGGACCCCGCUUCGAACCAGCCUGCCUGCGGCCACCGCUCCCACCGCGCGCUGGGGCGCCGCGGGGCGCGCGGGCCGGCAGCGCCCCGCCUGGCCCAGGGCGGCCCCUCCCCCGGCGCGCACAAAGGCAGCCCCUCCCCGGCCCUCCCGGCCCCGAUGCACCAUUUCGGGGUCCCUCCUCCUUCCCAGCUGCUUCAGGGUGGCGGGGCUGGACGGAAACAAAGGCACGGCGGCGGCGCGGGGACAAAGGGGC